RNAcentral lists this ribosomal RNA (519 nucleotides) under Triticum aestivum (bread wheat). RNAcentral describes it as "partial small subunit ribosomal RNA". Lineage: Eukaryota; Viridiplantae; Streptophyta; Magnoliopsida; Poales; Poaceae. The record is from RNAcentral.
AUGCCCACUUUCGCCCUCUCGGUUCUGCGGGUUCCACCGAAAUUGCUCAAAGAAAUUGAUAAGUGCAGAAGGCGUUUCCUUUGGAAGCAGGAGGAGGAAAUAACUGGGGCCAGCUGCAAGGUGAACUGGCAAACGGUCUGCGCACCAACUGAGAAGGGGGGGCUCGGAAUCCUGGACCUGCAAGGUUUCAGCCGAGCACUUCGGCUACGCUGGCUAUGGAUCGCUUGGAAAGACCCGGACAGACCAUGGGUCGGCACACCACCGUCAUGCGACGACACGGACAGAGCUUUGUUUGCUGCAGCAACAACGGUGACAGUUGGAGAUGGCAAGACGGCGCUCUUCUGGCAAUCUACAUGGAUGGGACCUGGAACCCUAGCCCAGGGCUACCCAACCUUGUUCAAACACUCCCGGCACAAAAACAGGACAGUUUUCCAAGCUCUGCAAAACGAAACAUGGAUCAACGACCUUGAACAUGGGGAUAUCAACCUGGUACUGCCAGACUUCCUGCGGCUGCACUGA